GGAGGAUUGGCCGAGUCUGGGAAGGCAGCCGUCUCGAAAACGGUAGUCGGUGUGAAAGCCGCGCAGGUUCAAAUCCUGCAUCCUCCG
Kibdelosporangium aridum is the source of this 87-nucleotide transfer RNA. It matches the Rfam family "tRNA". From Rfam's summary of the family: Transfer RNA (tRNA) molecules are approximately 80 nucleotides in length. Lineage: Bacteria; Bacillati; Actinomycetota; Actinomycetes; Pseudonocardiales; Pseudonocardiaceae. The record is from Rfam.